Molecule: long non-coding RNA, 591 nt
Filed under: Medicago truncatula (barrel medic)
Lineage: Eukaryota; Viridiplantae; Streptophyta; Magnoliopsida; Fabales; Fabaceae
Description: lncRNA gene9657
Source: RNAcentral
CAAACUUUUCAAAAAAAUCUUCAAAAUGAAAGCAAUCCUUUAUGAACUCUAACAAUAUAUCAAUAUUUAAGAUCUUAAAGAGCAUUUUCAUUUUUUCAAGGUAUUCAUAUAUAUUUUCUAUGCUCAGUGCUCACAUACAAUUUUAUUACUGUGUCCUACUUUUUGGUUGAUUUAACGAGGGCUUUCACACGUGUGGUGGAUUUCAUUAGAAUUUCCCAGAUGUGUGUAAGGAUCUCCACACCUCCUCCUAAAGUUCCAUCUCUACUUUCUCCAACACCAAUCGCCGCCUCUACCUCUCCAUCAAAUCUGCUCCGGACCAUGUCUCUCCCUAUAUUUGAAAUGUGAGGUCCAACUUAUGUUAGAUUUAAAAUUAUUGUUGUGCUUUUUCUUCGAUCAUUUUUUUUCUCUGAUUGUUUCUUCUGAUUCCAAUAAUAUAGUUUUAAGAAAUUUUUCGCCAUUGCUUCUAAGUUGGAUAAAAAAUUAGUGGCCGAAGAAACAAGAAUGUAAUGUAAGUUAUGAAGCUCGAGAACCCAAUUGAAAAAGAAUCAAAGGAUAAAGUUUUACCGCCGAAAUUUGUGCUGAAAGUCUCAA